UGGGGAAUAUUGGGCAAUGGGCGAAAGCCUGACCCAGCAACGCCGCGUGAAGGAAGAAGGCCUUCGGGUUGUAAACUUCUUUUACCAGGGACGAAGGACGUGACGGUACCUGGAGAAAAGCAACGGCUAACUACGUGCC
RNAcentral lists this ribosomal RNA (139 nucleotides) under uncultured bacterium. RNAcentral describes it as "partial 16S ribosomal RNA". It matches the Rfam family "Bacterial small subunit ribosomal RNA", at positions 355 to 509 of the family's 1533-position model. The record is from RNAcentral.